Long non-coding RNA from Ruditapes philippinarum (Manila clam), 413 nucleotides. RefSeq lists it as uncharacterized. The record is from RefSeq and is a predicted model, not a curated record. The transcript has 3 exons. NCBI's taxonomy places the organism in Eukaryota, Metazoa, Mollusca, Bivalvia, Venerida, Veneridae.
UAGGCUUACAAGAGAAAGAAGAUUUCAGAUUCGGAAAGGAAAAGUGGAAAGAAACCGUGAUUUCAUUCAAUGAAGGAUAUAUAUCGGUAGUGAAUCAAGGCGGUGAAAAAUUCUAAAAAGGGAAAUUAAAGCCAAAAGCGACCGUGAAGUUGAAACAUUUUCUGAUUGACAGAAAUAGAUCAAUUACAUCAUCAUCAUCACAUGUUACAAGUCCAAGGACAUUAAAGAUUGUCCCAAUGCAUGUGCAGGAGAUAGUAAGGACACAAUUUUUUGUCGGAGGUGUCUGGAAAGGAGUUAAGUGAUGACAGGUAGCACUAAAGAAAGCCCAUAAAAUCCUUUUGAAGUGGAAUUGUGACAUAGCAAUUCAUUUCUGGUUUAGUUGUAAAACUGCCACAAACUAGAAACAAUUCAUG